Gasterosteus aculeatus aculeatus (three-spined stickleback) is the source of this 1675-nucleotide long non-coding RNA. NCBI's taxonomy places the organism in Eukaryota, Metazoa, Chordata, Actinopteri, Perciformes, Gasterosteidae. The record is from Ensembl.
GAUCCCGUCCGUCAGCAAAGAGUCUGCGUCAACCACCCGCUGCUCCCACCUCCACCUACGUAUACAACCAACCAUCAACCAUAGGAUGUUUAAGCCCAUCUCUCCAGAGGUCACCUUGGCUUGUUUACUUGACUGGAGUGGACGCUCAGUGAACAUCUCACCUACCAACGUGUGUUCAGCUCUCAACUCAUUUCCUACUGGAUCCUCAGUCAGUGUGGGUUUUUGGACCAGUUGCACCUCACGGGCCGAGCCACCAAUCCUGAACGCGCCUGUACGCACCAAGUACUCACCCAGCAACUACCAGACACGUGAAGAAACAGGCCGCCUCCUAUUGGCUCCGCCUGACACAGCCAUGGACGGGAUGGGAUCCUGGAAGCGGGGGCCGGAUGAUUGGGAGGUUUGGCUGAGGUGACAAAGAGCUGAUCGAUCCCCGGCUGCAGGAGGCCGAGCCGGGGGAACAGGCUCCAAAAGCCUGACUGUCACGCACACUGCAUACACAGGUACAUAAAAAACAUAAGGCCCACGCGGAGGGACAAUCCGCUCUGGCCUUCAUUGCGUUAGGCAGACGUAUACUAAACUGGAGAAAAUUGUUGAGUAUGAAAGUUGUCUGAUUAAAUAAUUGAUUCUGAUUCUCACACAGAAUGUUUAAUUAUUUGAUGACUUUGUGCGUGAUAACAGGGCCGUAACAGUUUGACAUAAAACACCAUUUCUGAAUGACACAUGUCAUUUUCUUGUGAUUCAGGAUGUAAUAAAGUGACAUUUUAUUUGUUAAUUUUGAAAAGCUAAAAGAAAUAACCCUCUUAUCAUAAUGAAUUUAGAGAGUAUUUAGAGACAUUUCCACCCCAUGUUUUAGUCGGUCAUACACAUGAGCUAUACUGUAUACAAGUGAGUGAAUCAUCAAUAAGAUGAGCAGCCUCUAUCCCCAUGCUACUUCUUAUUUAUAAAGAAAUAGCUUAAGCCCUGGUGUUCAAAUCACAGGCAGCGUUUAAAUCUCCUAAAAUCCUUCCAUGCUUGUUAUUGCAAAAGGGGCUUGUUUGGGAACACGUCUUGAAGAUCAUAGCGUGUAGUUGCAGCAGCUACGUUUGAAUCAACAUGAGGUGCAAUGGGGGAGGAGAGGGAAGCGACGCUGGAGACAGAGCACGUAAGAAAGAGCGAGUCAUGCAGGAAGAAUGGGACUAUUCCACUUUAAAGUUUGUCCACCCGGAGAGCUUUGGCAUCUCCGCAGCCAUACAGGUUAGCUUAAAAACUGAGAGAAUGAUUUUGUGUUUUGGUCCCUGGGGAUGGAAACUGUCUCAACACAGUGUACACUCAAUAGUAGAUCAAUAUUUCUACAAUAUCAAGCCGACCCAGCCUGGCUCCUUCCCUCCGAAGCACAGACAACAUGAAAUGAAUUGUUAUUUGAUGUUGCACUCUGGGAAAUGAUUGAAGGUUGCCUUAGGCUGAAGACAAUUUGGUAGGAAAUCUUAAGUGCGUCCCCGGUGCUUAAUGACUUACUGUACAGGUUCUGCAGUGAGAAGCGCAGACGUGUCUCACGUAUUCCUGCAUCUCAAUUCAACUUUAUUGCUGCCGACAAACUCUGUCUCCUUGUAGGCCUGUGCGAUCAGGGCCAGGACGAAAAGGGGAGGUGUGCCGCUUCGCCAAACGGAACCAACCGGCUUUAUUUGCUAUUUUCUAC